AUACGUAUGUCGCAAGCGUUAUCCGGAAUUAUUGGGCGUAAAGCGAGUCUAGGCAGCUUGUUAAGUCAGAUGUGAAAAUGCGGGGCUCAACUCCGUAUUGCGUUUGAAACUGGCAGGCUAGAGUACUGGAGAGGUGGGCGGAACUACAAGUGUAGAGGUGAAAUUCGUAGACAUUUGUAGGAAUGCCGAUAGUGAAGACAGCUCAAUGGACAGAUACUGACGCUAAAGCUCGAAAGCGUGGGGAGCGAACAGGAUUAGAAACCCGAGUAGUCC
This 273-nucleotide ribosomal RNA is filed under the name uncultured bacterium. RNAcentral describes it as "partial 16S ribosomal RNA". It matches the Rfam family "Bacterial small subunit ribosomal RNA", at positions 523 to 796 of the family's 1533-position model. The record is from RNAcentral.